GCUGGGUGUGGUGGUGCACACCUGUAAUCCCAGCCACUCAGGAGGCUGAGAUAGGAGGAUGGUGAAUCCAAAGACAGACUCAGCAAAAGCAAGGUGGUAAGCAGCUCAGUGAGACCCUGUCUUUA
Molecule: small RNA, 125 nt
Filed under: Marmota monax (woodchuck)
Lineage: Eukaryota; Metazoa; Chordata; Mammalia; Rodentia; Sciuridae
Source: RNAcentral